AUUGGGCCAUGUGAUAAGUGAGCCCAAAUUCUUUAAUACCCAUUCUUUAUUUAAACUAGCCCAUCUCCCUACCCAACCCCAAACCGGGUCGACCCGACCCAACCCACUACCCAAAAACAAAGCCUAGACCUAAUACACAAAUACACACUACACAUAAUAGAUAAACACGCCUGGAAGAAGGGCUGUGCAGCCUGGCUUCUUCUGAACAAUACACACAAUGGAUACACAUAGAGACGCUUGAGACAUUCGAAAAGCUGCGCAGCUUUUACAAAACCCUCCCUUGACGAUCUCUCUUCCUCUUCGACCAAAGGACCCCUGAACCUGAUCUCCAACCAUUUACAAGCCCUAGCGACCAUCCACCCUCCCGUCAGCACUUUCUCUUUUCGAUUUCACAAGGCCAUUCACACACCAACACCCUUGCGAAGGCAUCUGGCGACCAGUACACGCACAGAAUCGCCGACUCCACUAGCGACGACCACCCGUCGCCACAGUUUCUUAUUCUUCAUCAAUCACUGCUACAACGGCCAUGGAACCUGCUUGAAUCCUCCGUGAAGUAGUGCGAACUUGACCAGAAACAGGAGCAAAAUUCCAUCUCGAAAUCAUUCUUAUGCGUGCUCAAAAAAGAGCUAAAAACAGUAGAAAAAUAAAUAGCAAUAUAGUGAGAGGGGACGGGGGUCUAAGGCUCCAUUCCAGUCUUUCAUUUUCUGAUUCUGUUUUUAUUUUUAUUCAUAAAAAUAGAAACACAAAAAAGAGGAUCCGUUUGCUGCUUCUUAAACUUGAAAAGAUGCAUUUCAGUUGUUAAUUUUGAUUUCCUCUCGUGGAGUUUGAUUUGCAAUCGGUGAGGUCGAGUUUAAUGAAAUACAGAGGAGGGCUUUGGGUUGGUUUAGCACGUGUGUUAGGAGCCGUUGAGUUUGACUUGAGUGGAGGUCGUUUUGUUGAGGUUUCCGAUGAGGCAUUUCCAUAGGGAUCUUGUCCGGGGCUUCGACAUCUAGGAUACAAUACAAAGGUCCAUUUCUAUCCUUCUCCUUUAAUAAAUUCAAGAGGCUUGUGGUACUACCUAGUGUUUUUGGCUUGGAUGAAUUUGUCUUCUUGGUAUGUUGGUUAUUAUUUUUUGUUAAUUUUCCAUGUUGGUGAUGUAAUAAUGUUGUUUGAAAAUCAUUACGUGAGUUUCAUGUUUGCCUUUGUUUGAUAGGCUUUAAUUGUUCUAUUUAUUAAUAUUUCUUGUGUGAUUUGUCUGGUAUAUUUUGUUUGAAAUCAGUUUGAAGUCUCUAAGAAUGUUUAUUUCUAUUU
Molecule: long non-coding RNA, 1290 nt
Filed under: Nicotiana benthamiana
Lineage: Eukaryota; Viridiplantae; Streptophyta; Magnoliopsida; Solanales; Solanaceae
Description: long non-coding RNA (NBEN_LNC008430)
Source: RNAcentral